Molecule: ribosomal RNA, 253 nt
Filed under: uncultured bacterium
Lineage: Bacteria
Description: partial 16S ribosomal RNA
Rfam family: Bacterial small subunit ribosomal RNA
Source: RNAcentral
UACAGAGACUGCGAGCGUUAUUCGGAUUCACUGGGCGUAAAGGGUGCGCAGGCGGCCGAGUGUGUGAGGCGUGAAAGCCCGGGGCUUAACCCCGGAAUUGCACCUCAAACUACACGGCUAGAGCAUUGGAGAGGGUAGCAGAAUUCACGGUGUAGCAGUGAAAUGCGUAGAUAUCAAGAGGAACACCUGAGGUGAAGACGGGUUGCUGGGCUGACACUGACGCUGAGGCGCGAAAGCCAGGGGAGCAAACGGG